This 146-nucleotide small RNA is filed under the name uncultured Blautia sp. RNAcentral's name for it is "Clostridiales-1 RNA". It matches the Rfam family "Clostridiales-1 RNA". Lineage: Bacteria; Bacillati; Bacillota; Clostridia; Lachnospirales; Lachnospiraceae. The record is from RNAcentral.
UACCAAGGGUCCAAAAGCCAUGUGUUUCAUGCUUGCAUGAAAAAACAUGGCGUUGGGACCCGUAAAACAUGAGCAAGGAGGCUGAUAGGCCGGAGUGCGAAUGUUUUCAGGAUUGCGGGAGCAUGAAAUGCGGAGCAAUUUAUGGU